GGGGACUGCUGCUACUAAACAGAAUACGGAAGGCAGAGUGGUGCAUCCUCAUCAUCACUGCAACACACACAAUGAGGAAUUUUAGUCAAGUUAAAAUACCCCUGUAGUACCCAGCUAGCCAUGUUUGUAGCAAACACUACAUCCUACUAAAUUGGUUCAUCAACACAUUAGCCAGAUUCAUAAACAUUACCUACUGUUUUUACAAUGCACAAAAUUGGUCAAUGAACACAUUGGCCUGCUGAAAAUCAAACAUUUGGACUGUAAUAUAUUACACUCCCAGUGAUACAUCCAGAGACACACACAAUGAGCCUAUCCAUCCGCUGCCAUUUUCCACAAAUAAUGUUACAUCUAAUCUCAACUGAUUAUGUAGUGGCGCCAUAUAAAUCACAGAGUAAGAUUUGAUUAAGAUGUGUGCACACGCACAGACAUCUCGCCAUGAUAGUGGAAGAUGAGUUGUGCUAGCAUUACCUUGCUAGCCAUGCUAACUACUGCUGGAAGAAGGGCGAAUGGCACAACCUGGACGAGCCGUCCUGCUGGUGUGGCACAAUUUAGACUGCGGCACCCCCGUUUCAUAUGACCGGGAGGUAGCAGCGGUGGUGGGCGGUGGAGACGUGGUAGAAGGGGAGGUCGCAGGCCGGAGGUACAGUGCCGGGAGGUCAUCCGAGUCUGUACAUCAGGGCAAAGGCCCAUGGCUGCGGCUGAGAAAGUAAUGUUCAGAGGCGUGUUGUAACUUACUGUAUGCAACUAUGCAUUAUGAGAUAACAAAUGUUCUAGUCUGAUACUUCACAACUUUGAAAUCAAAGCAGAAUUUUUGCUUCAACUUACCUUACUGGAAACCACUAGAUCCUAGAUCCCCACAUCUUCUUUUUUUAUCAUCUUUGAACUUCAGAUUAGUACGUUUUUUAUUUGGUCUGACAAGCUAUACAAGCUUAAGAUAGUAUCUUAGAGAGCAGAAGAACAAGACAGGUGAGGCACAGAGAUGAUCUUCCACACACAUAGCACCGGAAGGGAGUACAACAUGUUUUUCAUCAUUUAAGCCAUUCAUGAAAACGAUGGAGAACACUUAUUUUGAUAACCAAGAAACAUGGUAAAACAUUGUCUAUUCUCUGUAAAUAUGGUAAGCAUGCUGAGAUAAAAAAUGUCCUAUUUUUUCAGGAAAAAAAUGAACUCUAAUCUCAAUUCCUCACAUUCUACACGGUUAAUUCUUUUUAAAUGAUAUGAAAUGAACUAACGAAUCAAAACUCUGAAGGGACUCUCUUUAAUGCAGAUGCAGACCCAAUUGUUAAGGAUUCUUUUUUUAACAUCUACUAAGAUGAACAACAGAGAAGUAUAUACCAGCAGAGAAGCAGCCAUAGCCUGACGAGCUCACAACGUUCCCCUAGACAGAGUACAGGCGAGUACCUCAUAGAGCUGGCCGCAUACAGCGGAAGGAAGUGAAUGGAGUCAAUGAUGACGGGGGUCAUCCACGAGGAGCACGGUGUGGGGGUUGAACGGCCUGAGUGGCAUAGUUGAAUGGCCUAGGUGCUACGGCGCCGGCUGUAGGUGGUGGGCCGCGGUGGUAGUGGGUCGCAGUGGUGUGCGCGGCGAGCUGCAGGUCGAUGCUCCCACCAGCUGCAGGCUGAUGCCUCCUUCAGCUGCAGGUAGCGCCCAAUCCCCAUUGAAGGUGCUGCUACCAGGCCCUCCUGUGCGGACUUUCGUUGGUGUGGGCAUCCAUGGCGCGUGCUGGUGGUUCAGGGUGCGUCGGCCCCGGAGGCCUCCGAUGACCGGCCGCGGCGGCGGCCGAUGCCAUCUCAGGCUCAGUAGACCGCGAGCUCGUGUGGCUUCGGUGGCACGGUGCUCGGCGAGGGCGGCGGCGCCGCUGCGAGUGGGGCGAAGCGCGGAGGCGGGACUAGACGGGAUCCAGAGCGAGGGGGAUCCAGGUGGGAGGCGGAGCGGCGCUUCAAGGGGAGGUGGUGAGGAGCCGGGACGGCGGCGCGUCGGUUGGGAUGGUGCCGCGGCGGUGGUCGGAAGGUGGGUCGGCCGCGCGGCGGUUGUUGCAGGGGACGAGAGCUAGAUGGCGCUGGAUCGGGGGAGGUUGGGGAUCGGGGAGGGGGCGGUGGACUAGUGGGAGUGUUCUUUCUUUUUCCUCCUCGGGUUCCGGAGGACCUCCG
Molecule: long non-coding RNA, 2150 nt
Filed under: Triticum aestivum (bread wheat)
Lineage: Eukaryota; Viridiplantae; Streptophyta; Magnoliopsida; Poales; Poaceae
Description: long non-coding RNA (TAES_LNC007277)
Source: RNAcentral